Molecule: ribosomal RNA, 253 nt
Filed under: uncultured bacterium
Lineage: Bacteria
Description: partial 16S ribosomal RNA
Rfam family: Bacterial small subunit ribosomal RNA
Source: RNAcentral
UACGUAGGGUGCAAACGUUGCUCGGAAUUAUUGGGCGUAAAGCGCACGUAGGCGGCUUUGCAAGUCCCAUGUGAAAUCCCACGGCUCAACCGUGGAAGUGCAUGGGAAACUGCAGAGCUUGAGUACUUAAGAGGAUCGCGGAAUUCCCGGUGUAGAGGUGAAAUUCGUAGAUAUCGGGAGGAACACCAGUGGCGAAGGCGGCGAUCUGGGAAGAUACUGACGCUGAGGUGCGAAAGCGUGGGGAGCAAACAGG